Molecule: ribosomal RNA, 79 nt
Filed under: Olea europaea subsp. europaea
Lineage: Eukaryota; Viridiplantae; Streptophyta; Magnoliopsida; Lamiales; Oleaceae
Description: SSU_rRNA_bacteria
Source: RNAcentral
GCAACCUUCGUGUUUAGUUGUCUUUGUUGAGUUUGGAACUUUAAACAGACUGUUGGUGGUAAGUUCGAGGAAGGUGAAG